CCUACGGGUUGCUGCAGUGGGGGAUAUUGCACAAUGGGGGGAACCCUGAUGCAGCGACGCCGCGUGGGUGAAGGAGCGCCUCGGCGCGUAAAGCCCUGUCAGCAGGGAAGAAAAUGACGGUACCUGCAGAAGACGCCCCGGCUAACUACGUGCCAGCAGCCGCGGUAAUACGUAGGGGGCAAGCGGUAUCCGGAUUUACUGGGUGUAAAGGGGGCGCAGACGGCGAUGCAAGCCAGGAGUGAAAGCCCGGGGCUCAACCCCGGGACUGCGCUUGGAACUGCGUGGAGGGAGUGCAGGAGUGGCAGGCGGAAUUCCUGGUGUAACGGUGAAAUGCGUAGAUAUCAGGAGGAACACCGGUGGCGAAGGCGGCCUGCUGGACUGCAACUGACGUUGAGGCCCGAAAGCGUGGGGAGCAAACAGGAUUAGAUACCCGAGUAGUC
Molecule: ribosomal RNA, 440 nt
Filed under: uncultured bacterium
Lineage: Bacteria
Description: partial 16S ribosomal RNA
Rfam family: Bacterial small subunit ribosomal RNA
Source: RNAcentral